This 1987-nucleotide long non-coding RNA is filed under the name Homo sapiens (human). RNAcentral describes it as "HSALNT0390756". Lineage: Eukaryota; Metazoa; Chordata; Mammalia; Primates; Hominidae. The record is from RNAcentral.
AGGGGAGGCGCGGGGAGCUUGCUGCGGCUCCUCACCCGGACCUGGGAGAAGACGCCCCCCACCCUCUCUAGUUCGCCCUCUCCAUUCAAGUUUGCCGGCCCCUGCCGCCGAGAUCCGGGAAUGGCACCAGCCGCCCGCCCUCCGCUGUGCCCUGUUUCCAGCCACCGCUCAGAAAUUUAGGUCAAGGACGUCGGGAGCAAACCCACACCCUGGCGCUCCUUUGGCGGCCCCCGAGACGCCCCAGGAUCGGGGGGCUUCAGGAUGGCGGAGACCCUCCUGCACAAACACCAGCCACAAGUUUUAUUUUCCUUUUGCGCUGGAAGUUCUCUCUGGCUCUGGCUCCACACCGGCACGUCUUGCGCGGUUCCCCGCCCUUCCCCAGUAGAGGUACCAAUCCGUGCCCGGGAAAGGUUAUUUUGGAACUUUGAGAAACUGACGCGAUUCCAGUGGCGAGAAAGUGCCGAAGAAAGGGUUUCCGCGUUAAUCAUACAGUGUUUUAAAAAUGUAAUAAGAUAGGUUAUAGGAGUCAAGGUCACAUGAUUGAGGUUCAAAGCAAAUGAUUAGGAGACAAAGGAAUACACUCAACACCAAAACUGAACCAAAUCCACUGUGGGCUUUGGAAAAAUGGAAUAUUGGGAAAAUCUCAACACCAGCCAUAGCCUUGAGUGACCAGACCCUCAGUCUCCCUGUUCCCUAAAUUGCAGUAAUUCCUCCUUGACAGGAUUGAUGUGGUGAAGCUCACUCAAUGUAGCCCCUGCAUCAGGAGAAUUCAAGCAGCACAAUAUCAGUCCUCAACCCUCUGAAAGUCUCAACAGCCCAAGACAAUGUUGGACACUUCCUUCUUCAAACUCAAUCUUCCAGGAUGGGUUUAAACACAUGGUGAUGCCACUCAAAUUGAAAUCUCCAGCCCCACCCUUCCUGAAGAGCUCCAGGCUCUGGUCAAUUUCCUAUUCAACAUCUCCACUUAGCCUUUCUAAAGGAAGCCCAAGUUCAAAUCCAUCUUUCUUGCUGCUGCAUCCCAGAUCUCCCACCUGAGGCCCUGCAACAGCUUACAAAACAGUCUUCCCACAUACACCCUUACUCCACUUACAUGCCUGGAAAUCUUUCCCAGACCUCUCUGACAGGGUCGAAUGCCCUUUGAUAUGCAGUUACCUUACCAGAACGUCCUCUGUGUACCUUACCCUGUAUGAUCAUUUGCUUUAUUGCCCAUCUCCUCUAAGCCAGAAGCUCCCGUGCCUUUCUGCUCUCCAUGUACUAGCACAGUGCCUGCUGGCGCACGGUUGACGCUCAAUAAAUAAUGAUUGACUGAAUGAGUGAGUGGAUGAAUGAAUGAAUGAUGGCCAACAUUUAAUUUCAUUCUAGGAUUCUUUUUGUAUUCAUGUUCAUAAGUCAAAUUGGCUGCAGUUUUUCCUUUUCUUACUGCCUUUGUCUGGUUAUACUGGUCUCAUAAAAUGAACCGGUAAAUGUUCCUUCUUUUUUCAUUUUCUGGAACAGUGUGUGUAAGAUUGGAAUUAUGUGUUCCUUGAAUGUUUGGUAGUUUUGCAGGUAAAUUGUCUGGGUCUGGGAUAGACAUUUCGUGGGUUGAUUUUUAACUACUGAUUCCAUUUCUUUAAUGCUCGUAGAUCUCUUCAGGUUUUCUGUUUUCUUCUUGAAUCUAUUUUUAUACACUAUGUUUUUCAAGGAAAUUAUCCAUACCAUCUAGGUUUUCAAAUGUGUUGACAAAAUGCUGUUCAUAGUUAUCUCUUAAUGUAUUUUAAUCUCUGCUCUAUCUAUCCAUAAUGUUUUUUUUUCAUUCUAAAUAUCAUUUUAUAUGUAUUUUUUCUUAUCUGGAUCAGCUGUGCCAGAGAUCUUUUUUUUUUACUAAUGUUUUCUUUCUACUUUCUAUUAGUGUUUCCAAAGAACCAGACUUUAGUUUCAAUAUUGUUUCUUUUUCUGUUCCAGUAAGUUUUGUUCUUAUAUAUUAUUAUAUAUUAUAUUGUUAUAUAUG